RNAcentral lists this ribosomal RNA (472 nucleotides) under uncultured bacterium. RNAcentral describes it as "bacterial SSU rRNA". It matches the Rfam family "Bacterial small subunit ribosomal RNA", at positions 62 to 518 of the family's 1533-position model. The record is from RNAcentral.
UCGAACGGGAUCCGGUAGGCAGCAAUGUCGGCCGGUGAGAGUGGCGGAAGGGCGAGGAACACGUGGGCAACCUGCUUGAGGUGGGGAAAACCGCUGGAAACGGCGGCUAAUACCGAAUGUAGCGCCCGCUCGCAUGAGCGGAGCGCCAAAGGGGGCGAAAGCUCCCCCUCUUCGAGGGGCCCGCGCACCAUCAGCUUGUUGGCGGGUAACGGCCCACCAAGGCUCACGGUUAGCUGGUCUGAGAGGAUGGCCAGCCGCACUGGGACUGAGAUACUGCCCAGACUCCUACGGGAGGCUGCAGUCGAGGAUCAUUUGCAAUGGGCGAAAGCCUGACAAUGCGACGCUGCGUGGAGGAUGAAGGCCCUCGGGUUGUAAACUCCUGUCAUGGGGGAAAAGGAAACCCUGCCCAAUACGCAGGGAAUUUGAUGGUACCCCAAGAGGAAGCGACGGCUAACUCUGUGCCAGCCGCAGC